This is a small nucleolar RNA of Gastrolobium bilobum, 106 nucleotides long. RefSeq annotates it as small nucleolar RNA snoR97. The transcript has a single exon. The record is from RefSeq and is a predicted model, not a curated record. Lineage: Eukaryota; Viridiplantae; Streptophyta; Magnoliopsida; Fabales; Fabaceae.
UAUUCAUUGGGUGUUCAGGGUCCUUAAAACUCAAAGAUUUUGUGUUGUCAUCAGCUUCAUCUCUUGUUUGACCACGAGAUAGGAGUUAAAUAACAGCACUACAUUG